RNAcentral lists this transfer RNA (67 nucleotides) under Laevipilina antarctica. RNAcentral's name for it is "tRNA-Ile". The record is from RNAcentral. Lineage: Eukaryota; Metazoa; Mollusca; Monoplacophora; Tryblidiida; Neopilinidae.
CCAUUACGCCGGGCGAACGGGUUACAUUGAUAGUGUAAAAUAGGAGAAGCAAUGUCUCUAAUGGUAG